RNAcentral lists this ribosomal RNA (497 nucleotides) under uncultured bacterium. RNAcentral's name for it is "partial 16S ribosomal RNA". It matches the Rfam family "Bacterial small subunit ribosomal RNA", at positions 28 to 507 of the family's 1533-position model. The record is from RNAcentral.
GAUGAACGCUGGCGGCGUGCCUAAUACAUGCAAGUCGAGCGAACAGAUGAGGAGCUUGCUCCUCUGACGUUAGCGGCGGACAGGGGAGUAACACGUGGAUAACCUACCUAUAAGACUUGGAUAACUUCGGGAAACCGGAGCUAAUACCGGAUAAUAUAUUGAAUCGCAUGGUUCAAUAGUGAAAGACGGUUUUGCUGUCACUUAUAGAUGGAUCCGCGCCGCAUUAGCUAGUUGGUAAGGUAACGGCUUACCAAGGCAACGAUGCGUAGCCGCCCUGAGAGGGUGGUCGGCGACACUGGAACUGAGACACGGCCCAGACUCCUACGGGAGGCAGCAGUAGGGAAUCUUCCGCAAUGGGGGAAAGCCUGACGGAGCAACGCCGCGUGAGUGAUGAAGGUCUUCGGAUCGUAAAACUCUGUUAUUAGGGAAGAACAAAUGUGUAAGUAACUAUGCACGUCUUGACGGUACCUAAUCAGAAAGCCACGGCUAACUACGUG